GGGGGUGUAGCUUAGAGGUAGAGUCUUUGACUACAUCUCAAGUGGUCCUUGGUUCAAAUCCAAGUGCUCUUU
Molecule: transfer RNA, 72 nt
Filed under: Pelodiscus sinensis (Chinese soft-shelled turtle)
Lineage: Eukaryota; Metazoa; Chordata; Testudines; Trionychidae
Rfam family: tRNA
About the family: Transfer RNA (tRNA) molecules are approximately 80 nucleotides in length. Their secondary structure includes four short double-helical elements and three loops (D, anti-codon, and T loops).
Source: Rfam by way of RNAcentral